ACGGAAGGCAGCAGUGGGGAAUAUUGGACAAUGGGGGAAACCCUGAUCCAGCGACGCCGCGUGAGUGAAGAAGUAUUUCGGUAUGUAAAGCUCUAUCAGCAAGGAAGAAAAUGACGGUACUUGACUAAGAAGCUCCGGCUAAAUACGUGCCAGCAGCCGCGGUAAUACGUAUGGAGCAAGCGUUAUCCGGAUUUACUGGGUGUAAAGGGAGCGUAGACGGCAAAGCAAGUCUGAAGUGAAAUCCCGGGGCUCAACCCCGGAACUGCUUUGGAAACUGUUUAGCUAGAGUGCAGGAGAGGUAAGCGGAAUUCCUAGUGUAGCGGUGAAAUGCGUCGAUAUUAGGAGGAACACCAGUGGCGAAGGCGGCUUACUGGACUGUAACUGACGUUGAGGCUCGAAAGCGUGGGGAGCAAACAGGAUUAGAUACCCUGGUA
This 434-nucleotide ribosomal RNA is filed under the name uncultured Lachnospiraceae bacterium. Its description in RNAcentral is "partial 16S ribosomal RNA". It matches the Rfam family "Bacterial small subunit ribosomal RNA", at positions 341 to 792 of the family's 1533-position model. The record is from RNAcentral. Lineage: Bacteria; Bacillati; Bacillota; Clostridia; Lachnospirales; Lachnospiraceae.